ACAUAUUAAAAAUUAAAAAUUAAAAAUAAAUAAAUAAAAAUGGAUCCGCUGUACUGUCUUGUUCAAAUUUAGUAAACGAAUAAACCAUUCUCUCGCGAACCGCCAGAAAGAUCAACCAAAAUGAAAUAAAUAAAUGAAAAAACUCGGAAUCAGCGGAGAAAUAAAUUAUCAGAAUGCCUCCAUAUAUUUACAACAAUCGUACGGUCAAAUUCGAUUCCAGUAGCUGAAAGUCAUUUGAUUUAGUUCUCUUUUGGUAAAAGUAAAGCAUCAGAGCAAAUCUUCUGCGUGAUUGUUAGGCAGUGCUGGGGUUGGGUUUUUGGUUUUUUGCAGCUUCAUUGGAUUUCAUCGUUGAACAAACCUCCUCAACAACUGUCAAAGGACCCUUUUCUUUGAAAUUGAGAAAACUACUGUGAGCGCUCCAUGUGCUGGUGCUCAUUCAUGGACGUGGCAAAAUAUUUGUGCUUAUAAUUCUACUGGAUGGAUUGCAAGUUACAAGUGGUAGGAAUUCAAUCCCAACUUGAAAUGGGAUCAGUAGCUGUAAACAGAUCUGUGCAUGAGUUUCAGGAUGAGAGUCUUUUCAGCCCAGAGUUAGUGACCCAAAAGAUACAACCUAGUCAUAUAGCUGAAUGUGGAUCUGUAUCAGGUGGAUUUCAAGCUGGUGGCAGUGAGAGAUGGAGGAGAGAUGUCUAUAGGAGCAUAAAGACUGUAGUUUUUUCAAAUAAACUAAAUUUGCUUAUGCCCUUUGGGCCGCUUGCAAUCCUCCUUCACCAAUUACAUGGUCAUAAUGGAUGGGUCUUCUUUCUGAGUUUAUUGGGUAUAACACCUUUGGCUGAGCGUUUAGGUUAUGCUACAGAGCAGCUGGCAUUUUACACGGGACCUACAGUUGGUGGUCUUCUUAAUGCCACAUUUGGAAAUGCAACAGAACUGAUUAUUGCAAUUUAUGCAUUGAAAAGUAGAAUGAUACGUGUUGUUCAGUUGUCAUUGCUAGGCUCUAUUUUGUCAAACAUGUUGCUAGUACUUGGUUGUGCAUUCUUCUGUGGUGGACUUGUGUUUUAUCAAAAGGAACAAGUCUUUAACAAGGCAACUGCUAUUGUGAAUUCGGGAUUGCUCUUGAUGGCUGUCAUGGGGCUGCUUUUUCCUGCUGUCUUGCACUACACACACACAGAAGUGCAUUAUGGGAAGUCAGAGUUGGCUCUUUCAAGAUUUAGCAGUUGUGUCAUGCUUGUGGUGUAUGCUGCCUAUCUUUUUUUCCAGUUAAGGAGUCAAAAGGAUUUAUAUAUUCCUAUUGAAGAGGAAGGGAGUCAGAAUGGUGAGAGUACAUAUGACAAUGAUGAUGAAACUCCAGAGAUUUCCAAAUGGGAAUCAGUGAUUUGGCUUGGAAUUAUGACAGCCUGGAUCUCUAUUCUAUCAGAAUACUUGGUUGAUGCCAUUGAGGGAGCAUCUCAUGCAUGGAAUAUACCAAUUGCAUUUAUUGGUGUUAUCUUGCUUCCAAUUGUGGGGAAUGCUGCAGAGCAUGCAAGUGCUAUUAUGUUCGCAAUGAAAGACAAGCUUGAUAUUUCAUUGGGAGUGGCAAUAGGGUCAUCAACACAGAUAUCUAUGUUUGCAAUUCCUUUUUGUGUUGUUGUCGGUUGGAUGAUGGGGCAGCCUAUGGACCUGAACUUCCAACUUUUUGAAACAGCAGCUCUUUUCAUAACUGUUAUAGUCGUAGCCUUCUUUCUGCAGGAAGGAACCUCUAAUUACUUCAAAGGACUAAUGCUCAUUCUUUGCUAUGUAAUUGUUGCUGCAAGUUUCUUUGUGCAUGAAGAUCCUAUGGAGGAUAAACAAUUAAAACCAUAGCUAUCUAUUGUGGCAGCAAGUUUAUCACCGAGAUUUGGUCCAUCAUGUUGUUUUCAGCAAGCAAACGUGCACAUGCCUAGUACUCAUUACCCAGUACAACUCAAUUCGCAAAUCACGGUAACAAAUUAUGAAAUUGCCAAGAGCCGAGGAUGCAGGGCUGAUGAGGGGUGAAGUCAAGGCAAAGGAAAGGCAUGUCCGUCAAGCGUGGCUACGUUGAGGCUUUGUCGAGCGAGGCUUGAUUGGACGGAGGGAUAUUCUAAUUGGGUAGAUUUAAAAUUUAGACACUGAUUUUUCAAAUCUGGAGGAUGUGUUACUUUUGUUGAAAUCCAAACAUGAAAAAGUUAUUUACCUAAAAUUUAAUUAUGGUGCAUGAAAAUUUAUAUGGAAAA
RNA transcript from Hevea brasiliensis (rubber tree), 2225 nucleotides. It is a transcript of the gene named vacuolar cation/proton exchanger 5, with no coding region annotated. The record is from RefSeq and is a predicted model, not a curated record. Lineage: Eukaryota; Viridiplantae; Streptophyta; Magnoliopsida; Malpighiales; Euphorbiaceae. The transcript has 14 exons.